Molecule: ribosomal RNA, 497 nt
Filed under: uncultured bacterium
Lineage: Bacteria
Description: partial 16S ribosomal RNA
Rfam family: Bacterial small subunit ribosomal RNA
Source: RNAcentral
GAUGAACGCUGGCGGCGUGCCUAACACAUGCAAGUCGAACGAAAAGACGAGGAGCUUGCGCCUUUGCCGGUGGCGGAGGGCGGGCGAGUAACACGUGGAUCACCUCCUUAUAUUUCUGGGAUAACAACGGAAAACCGGUGAUAAUACCGGAGAAUAUUUCGUACCGCGUGGUUCGAUGGUGAAUGAUGGCUUUGGUGUCAGUAAUAGCUGGUGCUGCGCCGUAUUAGCUAGUUGGUAAGGUCACGGCUUACCAAGGCAACGAGACGUAGCCGACCUGAGAGGGUGAUCGGCCACACGGGAACUGAGACACGGUCCAGACUCCUACGGGAGGCAGCAGUAGGGAAUCUGCCGCAAUGGGCGAAAGCCUGACGGAGCAACGCCGCGUGAGUGAUGAAGGUCUUCGGAUCGUAAAACCCUGUUAUUGGGGAAGAACAGACGUGGAAUGAAACGUGCCCGGCUUGACGGUACCGAAUCAAAAAGCAACGGCUAACUACGUG